Molecule: ribosomal RNA, 520 nt
Filed under: uncultured Glomus
Lineage: Eukaryota; Fungi; Glomeromycota; Glomeromycetes; Glomerales; Glomeraceae
Description: SSU rRNA
Rfam family: Eukaryotic small subunit ribosomal RNA
Source: RNAcentral
AGCAGCCGCGGUAAUUCCAGCUCCAAUAGCGUAUAUUAAAGUUGUUGCAGUUAAAAAGCUCGUAGUUGAAUUUCGGGAUCAGUACGCUGGUCGUGCCUCGGUAUGUACUGGUGUUACUGGUUCCUACCUUCUGACGAACCGUCAUGUCAUUAAUUUGGUGUGGCGGGGAAUCAGGACUGUUACUUUGAAAAAAUUAGAGUGUUUAAAGCAGGCUCGCGCUUGAAUACAUUAGCAUGGAAUAAUGAAAUAGGACGUUCGAUCCUAUUUUGUUGGUUUCUAGGAUUGACGUAAUGAUUAAUAGGGAUAGUUGGGGGCAUUAGUAUUCAAUUGUCAGAGGUGAAAUUCUUGGAUUUAUUGAAGACUAACUACUGCGAAAGCAUUUGCCAAGGAUGUUUUCAUUAAUCAAGAACGAAAGUUAGGGGAUCGAAGACGAUCAGAUACCGUCGUAGUCUUAACCAUAAACUAUGCCGACUAGGGAUCGGAUGAUGUUAAUUUUUAAUGACUCAUUCGGCGCCUUACG